This 447-nucleotide ribosomal RNA is filed under the name uncultured bacterium. RNAcentral describes it as "SSU rRNA". It matches the Rfam family "Bacterial small subunit ribosomal RNA", at positions 26 to 518 of the family's 1533-position model. The record is from RNAcentral.
AGAGCGAACGCUGGCGGCAGGCUUAACACAUGCAAGUCGAGCGGGCGUAGCAAUACGUCAGCGGCAGACGGGUGAGUAACGCGUGGGAACGUACCUUUUGGUUCGGAACAACACAGGGAAACUUGUGCUAAUACCGGAUAAGCCCUUACGGGGAAAGAUUUAUCGCCAAAAGAUCGGCCCGCGUCUGAUUAGCUAGUUGGUGAGGUAACGGCUCACCAAGGCGACGAUCAGUAGCUGGUCUGAGAGGAUGAUCAGCCACAUUGGGACUGAGACACGGCCCAAACUCCUACGGGAGGCAGCAGUGGGAAUAUUGGACAAUGGGCGCAAGCCUGAUCCAGCCAUGCCGCGUGAGUGAUGAAGGCCCUAGGGUUGUAAAGCUCUUUUGUGCGGGAAGAUAAUGACGGUACCGCAAGAAUAAGCUCCGGCUAACUUCGUGCCAGCAGCCGC